RNAcentral lists this long non-coding RNA (1980 nucleotides) under Homo sapiens (human). RNAcentral describes it as "RNASE11 and RNASE12 antisense RNA 1". Lineage: Eukaryota; Metazoa; Chordata; Mammalia; Primates; Hominidae. The record is from RNAcentral.
AGAGAACUAGAAAAUGAAACUCAGCUGAAAAACGGCCACCUAAGAUGGAAGAAGCCAUGAGAUGAGUAAGCGUUGCCUACUCACAAGGUUGCAAACUGUCCUUCACUUACGAUUAUCCCCCAACGCCCCCUCCUAAAUCUGAUCAAUCGCAUGGAACUUGAUGGUUACAAAAGACAGAGCUAACAACUAGCAAAAUGGCCGAAAGGUUUUGGCAAGCAACCUUCUUGGGAGAAAUGCAAAUACCAUUGAUUUUUCGAGGCCUCUCAUGGAUGAAGACAUGCUCCUUUUUACAAGUGUGGUCAGGUUCCCUGAUAACUCUUUGUAUGAUCAUGUGGUUGCAGUACCUUGCAGGAACGGGAACGUCAUUCUGAGGGUAGUCCACAUGCAAGUGUUCUAAAGUUGACAUCACUGCUUCAUCAUUCACCUCAUUUUCCCAGAACAGAAGCACCAAGAAAAUUAUCACCAUUAUUAUCAUCAGAGAUUAAGAAGCAGCAAUGCCCCUCUUGUGGCAAGAGUUGGCAGCGUGCGGUUGGUAUGUCAAUGCAUCCAAGGUCCAAGGGCCUGGAUUGUCUGCCAAAUGCUUGGGAGUUGUUUGAUCAGGUUGACAUGCUCCAACAGCAUUGUGGACUGGGCCCACACCUACGCUGAGGUGACCAAUGUCUCCAACUGUUGGAUCUGCUCCACCUUCCAGCAGCAGCUGCGGAGAGUUUGCCCUGGAACGCGUAUCCUGCUUCUGUUAAGAACUGGACAUGGCUAGAAGCUUGGGGUCCCACGGACAAUGGGUGGGAUGCCACAGGGCGGGCUUUGGAUAGGAGGCAUCACAAAACCCAUGGCAAACCUGGCCCUUGGCUGACUCAUAGUGUCCAUGAUGGAUGGAGCUGGCUAAUGGGAGAACACGUGGUGCCCCCAUUGCAGGUAUCACAAUGUAUAGAGCAGCACUGGGGUAAAGUCACUGUGGGAUGGUUGCCUACUGAGGUUUGUGCAAACAUAACAUGUGUCACCACACCAAGGGUGCAGUGGAACAAGCGGCCUUACGAAGGCCAGGCCCCCAUGGACUUUGUGCCCCCUGGGAGUUUAUGGGUCUGUGGGGACACAGGAUGGCCAUAUCUCCCAGCCAACUGGACUGGACAUUGUACCUGGGGUUGGCCCUAUGUGCCUGCCACUGGGCUUCCCACAUUGCCUAGUCGCCACAUAACUGGGAGCCACUGUGUUCCUGCUUUUUCCCAGUGCAGCAGGCCCUCUAGUGGUUCUAUCCCUUAGCAAUGACUAUCCCUGGAGCAGGCGUCAUUACUAUAGAAAAGCAAGUUGCAGCCUUUGCAGACCACACAGCUCGGUCCCGAGUUGCCCUCCUUUUGUUAACUGAUGAAGUUGAUCAGAUCAGGAAGGUGGUGCUGCAAAACCAGAUGGCCUUAGACAUAGUCGCAGCUGCCCAAGGUGGCACCUGUGCCCUUGUAGGGACACAAGGUUGUACAUUUAUCCCUGACAACCACUGGAAUAUAAUGGCAGCUUCACAAGGGGUGUCAUAGGAGAUUAAGGUGAUUGAGCACCUUACUGAUGACCCCCUGCAGAGAUGGUGGGCGUCUUUGGGAUCUGGCCUACAAUGGGCUCUCAUAAUCAUAGGUAGCAUAGCAGGAAUAUUAGUGGUAGGUUGUUGCUGUCUGUGUUGUUGCUGUGGCCUAUGGGUCCAGGGUGCUGCCACAUGUGCAUGGGUCCCCACCAAGAGGAUUCCCUGGCCUAGAGGGUGGAGUGUAAGGAACAUGGCUGUGUGCAGGCAAGCAGGCAUAGGCCAAGGUAAACAGCCUAGAUGACUCAGUGGGAUUGGGGCACAAGUGCACAGUCCCAUAUCUUAUAUAAUCAUAGCCGUGUAGGCACAACAUAAAGAAGCUCCCCACCUGGCUCUCAGUCACUAUCGUUUGUGUAGUGUAUAAAUGUAACACUGACCCUGUGAAGGGGCUGCUGAAUAAAGCCAUGUCUCAUUUA